This 1638-nucleotide ribosomal RNA is filed under the name Triticum aestivum (bread wheat). Its description in RNAcentral is "partial small subunit ribosomal RNA". The record is from RNAcentral. Lineage: Eukaryota; Viridiplantae; Streptophyta; Magnoliopsida; Poales; Poaceae.
AUGAUGAAGCGACACAGCUCUGCUGCCCUCCCGCCGUCGACGGGCGGCGAGAUGCAUGAGGAGACGAUGGGCAAGGCGGACAAGUCAUACAAGCGGCCUAGCCGCUGCUCCCGCCUCUGCUCCUUCCUCAUCAUCGCCGCCGCCUUCUCGAUGCUGACAUGCCACUGUUACGACUACGUCCACGGCGGCGUCGCGCGCGUCGAGCACGCCCGUGCGUCCUCGCGACGCCUCGGCGGGUCGCCCUUCUCCGACCCUGCCGUCCCGCCUCGGCGUGACACCGCCGACCGGAAGGUUUCGGCCGACAACGAAGCGUUCGAGCUCGCUGCUGCGGAUGCGAGGCGGAGGCGAGAGCUGUGUAGCGGCCAGUACAUCUACGUCCAGGAACUGCCUUCCCGCUUCAACACGGACAUGGUCUGGGACUGCGAGGACAUCUCCCCGUCCAAGGACAAGUGCAAGUACACGGCCAACGGCGGCUUCGGCCCGCGGCUCCAGGAGAGCGGGUGGUACGACUCCGACGAGCUCGCCCUGGACGUCAUCUUCCACGACCGGAUCAAGCGGUACGAGUGCCUCACCAACGACUCCUCCCUCGCGUCCGCCGUCUUCGUCCCGUUCUACGCCGGCCUCGACGUGGCGCGGCACCUCUGGGGGUAUAACGUCUCCACGCGGGACGCGAUGGCGCUGGAGAUGGUGGAUCUGGUCACGGCGCGCCCCGAGUGGCGCGCCAUGGGCGGUCGAGACCAUUUCUUCGUCGCCGGCCGCACCACGUGGGACUUCCGGCGGCAGGGCGACGUGGACGCUGAGUGGGGAAACAAGCUUUUCCGCCUGCCAGCCGUCCGGAACAUGACCGCGAUCGUCGUGGAGGCGAGCCCGUGGGACCGGAACGACGCCGCCAUCCCGUACCCCACCGCCUUCCACCCGGCGACCGACGAGGCCAUCUUCUUCUGGCAGGACCGGGUGCGCGGGCUGGAGCGCCAGUGGCUCUUCUCCUUCGCCGGCGCCCACGCCGAGGACAGCAAGUCCAUCGCAAGCAACCUCGUCGAGCAGUGCAGGGCGUCCGCCGCCUGCUCGAUGAUGGAGUGCACGAAGGGGCCGGGCAACCAGUGCGAUUCCCCGGCCAGCAUCAUGAAACUCUUCCAGAGCUCGACGUUCUGCCUCCAGCCGCGGGGCGACAGGUACACGCGCAGGCUGGCCUUCGACGCCGUGCUCGCCGGUUGCAUCCCGGUCUUCUUCCACCCCGGCACGGCGUACGUGCAGUACACCUGGCACCUGCCCAAGAACCACACCGAUUACUCGGUGUACAUCUCGGAGGAGGACGUGCGCGGGAACGUGAGCGUGGAGGAGAGGCUGCGGCGGAUACCGACGGACGCCGUCGAGAGGAUGAGGGGCGCGGUCGUGGGCCUCAUCCCGGCGGUGACCUAUAGUGACACGUCAACGAAGCUUGAGUCGACGGUGAAUGACGCAUUCGACAUGGCGGUGUGGGGCGUCAUUCGGAAGGUGGCGAAGACGAGGAAACGCAUCCUGGAGGGCCGUGCGGAGGAUGAGAAGCCAGAGAUGUAUAGUUGGAAGUACCCAUUGUUGGGAGAAGGGCAGAAGGCUGAGGAUCCCCAUGAAUGGGAUCCCUUGUUUGCCUUCAAUUAG